GGGCAGAGGAGCAGGUGAAGGCCGCGUCGGCGAAGACGCGCCCUAGGCCGGCAGAAGAGCACGCCAAGGCAGCGCAGCCAAAAUCUCGACCUCGGUUGGGGGACGGCGCU
This 110-nucleotide non-coding RNA is filed under the name Symbiodinium sp. CCMP2430. Lineage: Eukaryota; Dinophyceae; Suessiales; Symbiodiniaceae. The record is from RNAcentral.